This 421-nucleotide ribosomal RNA is filed under the name uncultured bacterium. RNAcentral's name for it is "bacterial SSU rRNA". It matches the Rfam family "Bacterial small subunit ribosomal RNA", at positions 355 to 774 of the family's 1533-position model. The record is from RNAcentral.
UAAGGAAUAUUGGUCAAUGUACGCAAGUCUGAACCAGCCAUGCCGCGUGAAGGAUGAAGGUCCUCUGGAUUGUAAACUUCUUUUAUCUGGGACGAAAACGGGAUUUUUAUCUCAAUUGACGGUACCAGAGGAAUAAGCACCGGCUAACUCCGUGCCAGCAGCCGCGGUAAUACGGAGGGUGCGAGCGUUAUCCGGAUUUACUGGGUUUAAAGGGUGCGUAGGUGGGCUUAUAAGUCAGUGGUGAAAUCUCCGAGCUUAACUUGGAAACUGCCGUUGAUACUAUAGGUCUUGAAUUAUCUGGAGGUAAGCGGAAUAUGUCAUGUAGCGGUGAAAUGCUUAGAUAUGACAUAGAACACCAAUUGCGAAGGCAGCUUACUACAUAUAAAUUGACGCUGAGGCACGAAAGCGUGGGGAUCAAACA